ACUCGCUGAUUGGCUGAGCAGGGCCGCGGACAGAGAGAAAUGCCGAGGAAUAGGGGCGCGGCCGCCCGGUUUCGGCGAUGGGUUAUAGGGUCCGCGUCAGCCCCGCGCCCGCACAGCCAACGUCACGCCGCAUUCUUAUUUCCAAAGACCCCUGGAGCUUGGGGUCCCACCCCAGCGGUCUUUCGGGGCGUCCCCUGCCCUUCACGCGCCGCGCCGGCUCGGCCCGAAGCGCCCUGCGGACCCGCAGCCUGGGCCGCCCCGAACCUGACGGCCCCGCGGGGGUCGGACGCGGGAGGAACGGCCUCGCUUUCAGAGACGCAGCGGGAGGGCGGUCCCCGCUGUCCCUCUGGCCGGGUCCUCAGCACGCGUUCUCCUCACUCCCAGGACUAGCGAGCGGCGGGCGCGGACCGGGGCCUGGGGUCGGAGGCGGCGCAGCCAGAAAGGCCCCAGCGGCGCUGAGACGUUUGGGGGAAGGCGGGGGCUUCGCGUUUCGAUGGCGGGAAGCGGAAUGAGGUUGGACCGGCCGGGCCGGCGUUCAGGGACCCGGCGGGAGGCGGAGGGCUGGCGUCCUCGCGGACAUCCAUCUGCAGCGAACCAGGCAGAGGCUUUGGGAUUAGAUCCUUGACUCCUUGCGUCAGUAGUUAAGGUUUGUUUAAAUAUAAAAUGGGAUGGCCCUUCUUACAAGGUUGCUGGAGGAUUAAAUGAAUAGGCAUGUGGAAAGCACCUAGUAUAAUAAGGCUCGGUAGUUUCUUCCAUCAGGGCUGGAAGAGACCACGGAGCCUGCUUUCCUCCUUCGGCGUUUGGAUCUCACAUAUCCCUUCUUCUCUGGCGAUCAAAAAUCCCUAUCUUCUGUAGAGAUCCCUUUUACAGAUCAGUGGCCUCCAGGCGGUAUCUCUAGCAACAAGUGCUACCCCAAGCGGCCGGCCACACAUAUUCCCUGGCUUCAUGACAUAGGGAGGCGCAGUCCCCACGUGAUGCAGAAGGGAAAUGUGCCUGUCCUUGCACUGACCCCGUCAGCCAUGUGUGCUCCUGGCUGUUUUCUGAAAUCAAGAACCAGUUACAUCCGCCCUUCUCCGUUCUCUAGUUGAAACCUCCCUAUCCAUCCUUCCAACAUUCAUGUAAGUUGGAGGUGGGCGUGGGAUGACACCAAACUGUUAGGUAUAAAAUACCAUCCUAGCCUUCGAGGGGUUUCUAAAGUAGUUGAGGAGUGAUAUAUUCUGGUAAAAUCAUAAUGCUGGACAGCGCAGUUCUAAGAGCCCUGUGAUCAAAGUAGCCAAAUGCCCAUUAUGAGAAUUCAGAGGGUGGAGAAAUCCAGGAAGACUCCCUGGAGGAGGUGAGAUUUUAGCUGGAUUGUAAACAAUGGUUAUUUUUCUCAUCCAGAGUGUGUACAUUGUUGAGAACACUGGCCUAGGAUAAGGGUGCACUUGGCAUCCAGGAGAUAGAGUUAAGAGUAUGUCCAUACAGGCCUUCAAAAAAUCACCACGAGGGCUGAGCGCAGUGGCUCACACCUGUAAUCCCAGCACUAUGGGAGGCAGAGGCGGGCGGAUCACGAGGUCAGGAGAUCGAGACCAUCCUGGCUAACACGGUGAAACCCCGUCUCUACUAAAAAUAUAAAAAAAUUAGCUGGGCAUGGUGGCGGGCACCUGUAGUCCUAGCUACUUUGGAGGCUGAAAGGAGAAUGGCGUGAACCCGGGAGGCAGAGCUUGCACUUGCAGUGAGCCGAGAUUGUGCCCCUGCACUCCAGCCUGGGGGACAGAGUGAGACUCCGUCUCAAAAAAAAAAAAAAAAAAAAAAUCACCACGAAAGUUCUAUAGCUCAAAAAAGACGGACUUUUUGAAUUUUGUUCUGGAAAAAAAAAAAUCCUCUGUAGAAAAUGACAGCUGUAAAGUGAAAUGUAUUUCCUUCUUUGCCUCUGCUCCUUUGUCUUGGCUUUGGCCAGAACCAAAAACAUUGCUGAGUCUGAGCAGCCACUCAUAUUAGCAGCCUGCAGCUCUUACUCUUUUCCUUUAAUGUCUUUGAUGUUUCAUUUCUGUCCUAAUUUGCAUGUGAUUGCCUGUGUCAUUUGUUUGGCAGCUUUGUGAUGGUCUGAGGUCCAUGAAGGGAUUAAAACCAGGAACUGGCUCCUUCUCCAACCACUAAAGCCUCAUCUGGGCCCACAAGCCCUGGCUGUUCCCUGGAGCGUGACUGGAAGAUGUGAGCAGCUUUGUGCUGGAGCCCCAUUUCCAUGGGUAAACUGUUCACCUGAUCAAACAGCUCCCCAGAGUUCCACAGUACCACAUAUUUAUUUUCUAGAACUUUGUUUUUAGCUGAAAGGGAUCUUAGAGGCUAAGGCAAUCCUAUCACUUUACAGGUGAUAAAACUGAGGCCCAGAGAAGUGAAGUAACUUGCCUAGGCCCACACAGCUCAUCAGUAAAAGAGCCAGAACACAUGGCCGAGACUUCUCCCUAAUCCAGCGUCUCCUCCACACUCCCAGCUCACCCCUAGGGUUUGUGCCCAGGCUGAGGACACUAUUUUCAGAGGCACUAAUGUGAGGCAAAGGGCAUGUUACCAGACACAGCCCCGCCUACCCCGGUCCCCUGAGGUGGAGCUGUGCAUUCCACUGGCUUCACGGUUCCCCUCUGCCCUGGCGGCUUCUGGUUGGUAUUGGCGCCACCGACUGCUCUGCCAUGGCUCCUCAGUGAGUGCUUUGGGUGUGAUUGACAAGUUUCCAUGACAUCUCCCAGGGAGUGGGGUCCUGAUGUUGGUGACAUCUCUAUCGUUCAUCUUUUCAUGGGGCUGAUGAAUUCCUAGAAAGGGUAGAAGGAGAAGGAGCCACUGAAAGAGGCUCUUUAAAACUUCCCUGAGUGUCCCCCAGUGCAAAUGAACAGGAGCCCCAGGACACUUGAAGGCCCUAGGAAAUCACACCUCAGAGCCACAGAUGCAUCCUAAUGCUCUCUGCAGACGGGGCACGUGUCGGAGGUGAGAACAACAGCUCCAGAUGUCUCUGUCUUUGCAAAUAAGGCCUGUGACAUUUAAUGAUGUAACCACCUACCUUCCACCCAUUGUUCUGGUGGCCAUGAGUAGAAGGAAUUAUACCAGGAUGUGAUAAGAAGGAAUUAGGAGCUGGGAGUCUUGCUGGGUGAGGACCUUGGCCCCUUGCUUGCUUGCCAUCUAAUAGGGGCACUCCUGGCCUGUGGGGUCAGGGAGAACUAGACCCAGAGCAUGGUUGUCUCUGUGACUAGUUGAGCCUGUUUCUCCUUCAAGGGCCCUGGCAGUGGGAAAACAUAUUAUGACAAUUGCACUGUUUUAUCAGCCCUUGGCACUCCUGAAGUUGCCCUGAAAUAAACAUCCCUACCUGUAUGCCAGGCCCUGCCUACUUCUGGAGCUCUCUUAGGUUUACAACCUACCCCCGCUGUCCCAAAUUGAUAGGGUGAGCCCAGGGCAUUAAAUGGGUGGUGCAAGUCAGGCUUCAGGACUGACACGGGUCUAUGUGCGCUCAGUGUGGGUUGAGGGGCACUGGGCUGUCUUUCUCCCUACAGUGCAUGCUGCUGCCAAACCAGAGAUCACUUGUAGACUUGAAAGGGAACAUGAGCUUUGGGUGAAGGAUUCCCAGCCCCCAACAGAGGCCAAAAAGCUACCACCCAGCCAGGUAAGCCUUGAUGGAACAUCUCUUGCACAAAGAUCACCAUGUUCAUUGAGCCUUUAGUGCCUCCUGGGCUCUGAUCAACCCACGAAUCAGUAUCUCCGCAGCACUUCCUGUGGUUUGGAUUCAGGUUUUUUACUUCUGUUUCCUGCCUUUAUGAUAGGAGUUUGGGUAACCUGUGAGAAACACAGCCACAGUGUAAACCUCUUGAGACAAGCUACACUGAUGGGACAAUCAGGGUGAGGGCAAUCCGGCGCCGUGGCUAUGUCAGCUCAUGUGUGCUCUUUCAGGAGGACAUGUCUCACAGACACAGAUCUUCAGCUCUGACAUGCUCGAUCUCACAAGCCCUUUUCUGAAACCUCCAUCAUGUGCUUUCUGAUUCUCUACAGGCAGAAGGAACAUAAAGUAUGCAUUUUAUGAUACGACUCAGCUUGGAGGGAUGAAGUAGAAGGUCCUCACUGCACCUCAUGGCAGGCUGCUGACGGCAGAUAUUUUACCGGGCUCACUGAACUGGGCAGUCAGGGAAGGGUCGGCUCCUGCUCUGUCCAGCUGUCUUCAUAAGGGACUCUGUGACACUUUUUAUAAAAAUGACUUUGAUUUCUGCAUAAGAAGGCUUCCCAAGCUUGCUGUCUAGCAGUGGCUGCUACAGGGAAUUAUUCACAUGGCAGCAAGAGAGCCCUGGCUCCCUGGACCAGGACAUUCCCUUUGUGUGUGUUGGAAUGAGAGCAGGAGGAGUGCUGGUCAGAAGCCCCUCCCCAGGGCUCUGGGACUUCAGUGUUCUCAGACAAACUGGGCCGCUCCUCUGAGCUGGGAUGCUGACCCACACUUGGCCCCGGCUCUGGCAUCCACAGGACGCUGCCUUAUCCGUCAUCUCGCUGGGGCUGGGGGCUAGAGGCUGAGCAGGUCACACUGAACAAAAGAAGUGUGUCCCCAUCACUAGGCUAACAUCUGAGUUUCUUCCACAGUAUUUGGUAACACAGUCAGAAACAAGACUGAAGAUGAUUCUGGAGGCAACUGGGAACCCCCCAGAACGAUUCUGCAGGCUUCUGGGAAGCUGAAAAACCCCAAGGCCAGACUGGCCUCAGAAUGCCUGAGUCCUUUUGAUUCCACUGGAAAAGCCAUCCAUCUGUGCCAAGUGUGUGGAGAGCUUCAAGAGCCAUAUAGCCCUGGCCACCAUGAGCACAGCCACGUGGGGGAGUAGUCCUGAAAGUGUCCUGGUGUGGCAAAGGCUUUCCACUAAGUGGACCUCAGAUGGCACAGGAAGACCCUCCUGGGGAUGUGGGAGGACACUGCCUAGUGGGUGAGGGGCCGCUCUUUCAGGUGUGCACACUAAAUGCAGAGACAGCCUCUCCUGGCUGCCAAGAAGCCUGUGCAUGAUCCAGGACCACAAAACACUUGCAAACUCACUGCCCAGAGGCCCUGUGCCUGUCUGGAGUGUGCCCAGUGUGUCUGCGCCCCACAGCUUGUCCUGGCCCGCCAGCAGAGCCGCAGCACUGCAGGGCCCUUCUGUUGUGAGUGCCAGGGCCCUUGCUGGCUGCCUGAGCAAGGCAAAAGGUUCAAAACAGGAAGUCUCUGGGCAGCUAUUCCCAGGUGCAGAGGGGAGCAGCGGCCACACAGGUGCCAGUGUGGCAGGAGCUGCAGUCAGAGGCAGCAUCUCAAGAGCCCUGGGAGCAGGGGCCAGCCACGUGAAGCCCACGAGUGUCGCUGGCACAGGGAAGGGACACGAGGAUCACACUGACCCAAGAGAAGGCCCACAGUGAGGAGGCCCCACCGAAGCAUCCCCAGCAACAGGGACUGAGGCAUCUGAGGCAGCCAGCCCACUCGGAAAGGCCUGCUGACUGCACUCCAGAUGUCAAGAGCACCCUUGGGAAAAAGAAAGGCAGGAGUGCAGCACUUUCUAGAGCCUCAGCUCACUUCUCUCCUUCUAGCUCCAGCCGGAGUGAUGGAAGAGGCUGCGCUGGGAGCUGCCUCCCUGGGAGCCUACCCUGCCCAGCCUGAGAGUGGAGGCUACCAGCAUCACGCUUCCCCUAGUGAAAUCCAUCUGUCCUGAAGGGAACCCUGGGACGGGGUCAAGGAAACCCUGUUCACCCCCACCACGGGGUCAGGUCUUCACCAAAGGGAGGCCGCACGGAUUCCCAGUCGCAAACCCAAAGCCUUGCUGCCUUUGCCUCUGUUUCCAUAGUUGUUUCAAUGUCUUUUUUAAAAAUCACAUACACUCGAGUAAGACUGAGUCUCCUCACCGAAGAGAUCUGGCUGUAUCCCGAGUCUCUGAAACCUUUGCUCCAGUCCCGUGGGAGCGUGCCGUCCCGAGGAUGUGGAGCCGCAAGGGCUCGCCAGAGGGAUCUCAGGAGCUAGGCCUCAAGGAGCGCUGUUGAGUGACAGGUCUGAUGCAGUAGCUUUUACUAUUGGUGGAAAUCGAUGUUUUUUCCUUGAAAGUCUACCUUUCUAAGUUCAGUAAACCAAAUUAGAUCAUGUAUGUGAAAGCACUUUGUAAACUAUGCAGUACUCCAGAAAAGGCAGCCAAGCCCUUAAUUAUAACUCACCAAACAGCCAACUCUCAUCUUUACCUUCUAACUGGCAAAAAUGAUUGAGCUCACUUUGAAGGACUAGAGAGGAAAGAAACUGAAAGACAAAAAUCAGGUGAAUACACAGGCACUUCCCCUGCCCACCUCUGUUCCUGGCCCUGUCCCCUCGUGAGUGAGAGCAGAGCUCGUUCUGUCAGCUUCUCUGAGCUCCUGGUCCUCGCUUAGGGACACACAAGACAGAGAUGUGUUGAAAUAGACUCUGCUUUAUUCAGGUAGCAAAAGGUUAGGAAUCAAACAUGGUUUUUAAAACCUCCUUUCAUCUUUGAAAAUAGAGGAGAGAACAUCCCUGGGCCAGUCACAGUUACUGUAUUUGGCUAAGCACACACCUGUAUGAGGGACCCGCCCCUCCACACUGUUCUGAUAGGUACUUAGCACCCUAGAAACUCAUCCUCUGCAGGAGAGAGAAGCAAGGGUCUGGAGCGCGGUCACAUACUCUAAGGUAUCUUCCAGGACAGGGGGCUGGGCUCCCUCACUCCCACCUGGAGUCGCUAUGGCUAUUGGGAUCAAACUACCAGUUACAUACUGGUUACUUGGAAUGUCAGACCCGGUGGGUAUCAGUCAUCAGGGAGAGGGAGGGGAAAUGCCAGGACACGUACAUACGGAUGCUGUCAAGACUACAGGCAAGGAGGAGGGUGGCGACAAGCGCUGGGACUCCAGCCAAAGCGGGAGUGCAUGCUUCUUCCCCUCCCAGAGCCCUGUGGUUUUUCUUCUUGUGAGGCAUAAACAGGAAGCCUCUCCAACAAGGGGGUCUCCAGCACUAGGGGCUGAAACUCAGCCAGCCUCUCCAAACAAAGCAAAGGGGCCAGCCUGGGCCAGGGCCUCUGAUAAGGAUGCUCACUGUGUUUCCACGGGGGUCCUGAAUGAGGAAGUUCAGGAAUAAGAUGGCAGUCAUCUUCUUCCUUCUUGGCCAUUGGCUGACAAAGGGGAACGGAGCAGGCCUGUGCCCCUUGAGAAAUCGGGUAGUGCAAAUUUUAUGACAAACAGCAUUCUCAGUGGCCCCGCUGCACAGGGACCCCCCUUUCCCACCACCUAAGGAAGGCACUGGCCGGUGUCCUCGGAGCACGCUGAUGCUGACGUGGAGAGGGCGAGUUGCUUCCCCUAGCUUCCACCUCAGCUCCAGAACUACUCCCACAGAGACCCACUCACGGCUGCUCACAGGAUGGCCUCCUGCUCUGAGGGAUUCUUCAAGGAUGAAGAGGCCGCAGGAAGCAUGUGUGCUGGAACAGCACCUUGAUGUGGAAUCCCUGUGGGUAGGGCAGAGGCUAUAGCCCCACCUAAAAAAGCCUUUCUCCCUCCCUUUCCACGAGUUCACAUCCACAGUGCCUGACCUGGGCAAGUUCCUGAACGCCCAUGGAGACGGUGAUGGGGAGAAGGAGGCCUGUGUGUGCCUUAGCCACGCAGAUAGUAACACCUCCCAGAGCUCCCGCACCACAGGCCUGUGGGGUCCCUCUGACCGCCAGACCCACAGGGCUGGGAGACAUUUCCACAGGUCAAAGGCAGAAAGCAAGAAAGGAAUUCCUGACUAGAACUGAAAAUGACACGAAAGCAACAGUGCUAAGGCUAAGUACUGGGGUGGGGAUGAAAGGGCAGGUGGGGUACCAGGGUACCUGCGGUACCAGGGAGGGGCUCGGACGCCAGCAUCUACCCUGGGAAUGGGAAGGGUACUCAGACAGCAGCUUCUACCCUGGGAAUAGGAAGGGUACUCAGGUGCUCAGAUGCCAGCAUCUACCCUGGGAAUGGGAAGGGUACUCAGACAGCAGCUUCUACCCUGGGAAUAGGAAGGGUACUCAGGUGCUCAGAUGCCAGCAUCUACCCUGGGAAUGGGAAGCGGCAGACUAUGGAGAAAGGGCCCACCCACAGGGGCCUGCAGCACAGCACAGGACCUGCCUGAGCCAGGCAGCAAGCAAGCUGGGAUGGAUGGCGCCCACUUCCUGCCUGUUUAAAACAAGUAUCAGGCAGGGCAGAGAAACCCUGCCUGCUGACUUGCCUCAUUUCCUGCCCAUGGUUAAGGAAGGCAGAACCUAGACAAAAUCAUCCUCCUCCUGAUAAGCGGCCUCCUGAGCCUGCCAAGACGGAGCUGCCCUUGGAAGGAAAAGUGCUUCACUUUAGGUGGAAGGAAGAUCGGGGCGAGGAGGGUGUGAACCUAGCAGUGCCAGAAGCCCCUCUGUGCCUCUAGGGCGGUGGUUCUGUGGUUCUGAAGCUAGAGCAGGCCCAAAGUCCCUGGAGGAGGUUGUUCAAAGCCCUUGUCACUGAGCGCCCAUUCGGGGAUGUCUCAGUGGGCCCUGGAGAUCCUGGUGCAGAGUCCCCAGGGCAGCUCAGAGAAGAGUGGACUAGCCUGUCGUGCAGAUGGUGCAUUCAGAGAGCAACUCCUACAACAAGGACUUUGGAGACAAAUUCCUACCUGUCCCACUAAGGACGAGGAUGGGGCAGAUGGCAGCUAAGUCCACACUGCAGCCAGAGGUCUUUGAGGGAGCUCGAGGCUCUCAUUCACUAAUCCUAGGGCAGAUGGGGAGUCAGCAGGCACUUGGAUCUCUGCUGCCACUUCAUGGAGAGGGAAACUGAGGCACAAAGAGGAAGGGAUUAAUCAGACCACUGCCUGCAGCAGAGCUGGGGCUGCAUCCCAAGCCUCCCAACUCCAACUUCGUCCCAUCCUCUCCUGGGUAAACCGGGCCGGGCAUGCCACGGGUUAAACGCGGCUCGGCUCUCCGGGAAGCACCAGACCCCCUGCCAGAAGAGCCCAGCUCCACCAUCUGGAGCUGCAGGAAGAGAACUUUCUUGGGUGCUCUGUGCAAAGGGCUUGUGAUUGUUUCGCCCUAAAGGAAGCCCUGGGAAGAGGUAGAGUUCCGCACGAGACCACGGCCUCACUGCUUCUGCUGUGGGAGCCAGGGUAGGAAGUCCCAGAACAAUGCCUCUGGGGGCUCUUGCAGCCAGGCCAGCUGUCCCUAGAGCAGGGGCAACCUCCCCCUCUAACAAGGUGGUCUUUCCCAUUCCCACUUAGACUGUGGGCAGCCUCCCUGGAACAUUCCCCAGGGAUGUCCAACAGUCUCCCCUACCAGGACACUCCUCUUGCCACCAAAACUCAGGGGCUGAAACCUUUCAUGAUGGGGUUAUUUUCUGCAGCACCUUAAAAAUGAACUUGAGAUAUAGAACCUUCUGGCACAUUUGUGUGCUGUGAGGCAUGGCUGUGCUGAGUGGGGCCUCAGGAAACAGGUCAUGCACCUCCUGAUACCCCUGCUGCUCUGGGAUGCCACUGCCCACUUCCUGGUGCUUAGAGACCAUCGCCACCAGCAGAAGAUCCUAGGGCAGCCUAGAAUCUGCAGAGCCUGUCCCAGUGAUCACAGAGGCGUCUCCAAGGCAGUCCCAAGGACUCCCUGUCCCUCAGGACAUCCCGGGGGCCUCCUGGCUGGUGUGGGGAUACAGGAGUCUCUCGGGAGGCUCCAUGAUGCAGUCCUUCAGAACCUCCGCUGCUUCCCUGGAGGGCAGGAUGGGUGGCUUCUGGGUCCUGGGCUCCUCCACAUAGAGGGCUCCCAUCUCCUCCUUCCUGAGCCUGGCGCCUGUGAGGGAGGAAGGAGAAUACAAUUAGACUGACUGACAGUGACCGCCUUCCACAUCCAGCUUCGCCCAGGGGCUGUUUGGUGAGGAAAGCUUGGCAGAACAGACUGAAGUCAGGACCACGACUGCUCUUUGCAGCCCUCAUCUGUUGCUACUCUGUUCAUUCUUUUAUCCUGAGAUAGGGGAUCUCAACUGGGGGCGAUUUUGUCCCCCAGGGGCCAUUUGCCAAUGUCUGGAGAUGAUUUUUGUGGUCACAAAUGGGGUGUGUGCUACUGGUAUCCAGUGGUUAUCUAAUAGGUAGAGGCCAUGGAUGCUGCUCAAGUUCCCACAGUGAACAGGAAGGGCCCCCAACAGAGAUUACCCAGCCCCAGCAUCAACAAUGCCAAGGCUGAGAGCCCUGCCUGGAAGGAGGCAGCGGUGCGUAGUUUGGCAGUGUUUGGACCAAUCUGUGCUGGUCCUGUUGUCCCUGUGGAAAGAGUAACUCGCAUCAGGGCACACCUGACAUCAUUUUUUUCUCCUUAGCACCCACAGGGCUGGACACAGAGCAACUCACCCAGCCCUCUCUCGGCUUUCCCUUUCUCUUAUCAGUGAGGGGUCUCUUUUCUUAUCCCCACCUGCCCUACUGUGGCUUCAGGGCCACCUUGCUUCCUACAGAGCCUCUGUCAGCCAUGAGAUCCAGUCCCAUUUCUGGUGACCACAGACUCAGAGGUGAAAACUGGGAGCAGCAACAGCCGGAAGGAGGCCAGCUAGAGACGCGAGGAGAGAGAGCACUGGGAGCAGCAACAGCCGGAAGGAGGCCAGCUAGAGACGCGAGGAGAGAGAGCACUGCUCCAUCCUUGUCAAGUGGUCGCGAGUGGUCUGGAGAACCCCAACAAUGGGCAUAUUUUCUUUGGUUUUCAGUGACUACUUGAAGAGAAAAAUUUCCUGUCUGUGGCUUUCAGUAACUUGCCCUCCCUUCUAAUACAGCUUCCCCCUCAAGCAAGUUCUUGACCCCAGCCCUCCGGUCCAGAGAGGCUGUUUCUGUUCUCCCCUGCCCCGUGAGAUUUCUGCCUGAAAGCCCCACCAUCUCCUCCGCAUCUCACCUCCUCCACAGCCACAUGGACCUCUUCCCUCUUGAAAAUUCCUGCACGGUCCAGAGUCUAUACAGCCCCACUUAGAAUGUGAUGGCGCUGCCUGGGGCUGGUCAGCCCUCUCCUUACUCCCAGCAGUGGUCUUGACCUUUAACUAGUACCAUUUGCACCACCUGCCAGGCAUUGUCCUGAGUGUUUUCCACACACAACUCAUUCGGCAGAUGAGAAACCAAGGCAUCAAAGGACAGACUUGCCCAAGGCCACACAGCCAGUUGGGGGCAGAGCCAGCACAGCACUGUCACCAGGGCAGACAGGCUCUAGAAAUGCACGCUCUCUGCACUAAGCCCUGCUGCCUAGAGCACAUGUGCGUCAUCUCCCUGGCAGGGGUGCAAGCUCCUGGAGGGUGGAUGUCACGCAUCGAGUACCCACUGGCCUAGCAAAUGGGUGGGUGCAUGACAGAAGCUCCACAGGCACCUGCAGUCCUGUCUUAUUGGCCUCUGGCUCAGCAUGAGGCUGCCUUGGGGGAGCUCUGCCACGUGUACUUACUUGCAGGGGAGCGGGCUGGCACCUGGGCACAGGUGUAGACAUGGCUGAAACGCCGGCCUGAGGAGGUCAGGUACCAGUGCUGGAUGGCGGGCUGGGGGUCGUACUCCGUGACGGCCACGCCGUUCACAGCUGUCAUCAUGAGCAUGUUGAGCACCUCGUUGGAGAGCUUGGUCCUCUCAUCGGUCCUGAUUCGGUUCAUGGCCUUGAACCCCCGCUCACAGCAAGAGGUGGAGAUGGGCACACAGACCACCACGGCCAUGAGCUUGCUUAGCAGGGGGAAGCGGCAGUGCUGGGCCAGGGCGUUUUUGCAGAGCAUGGAGAACGGGAGGUGCUGGGCAAUGGUUUUCAGGCCCAGCCACUCCUCCAGCAGAGCUUCCUCACUGUAUCCUGUUGGGAGGGAGCACUCGAAAUACCUGGCCAGGUUGAGAAUGUCAUCAUUCCCAAAACUGGCAAGUUCAAUCCCACUUGGCCAGGCCAUGGUGUCAAACACCUCCAUGUUCUUCAGCUGUGGGGGUCGGUCUGCGUCAAACCUCUGCUGGAGGUACUCAAUCCCCGUCAGGACUGUCCUCUCCCUAUCCGCCUGGAACCGCUGUUCCGCUACCUCCAGUUUGUCCAAGCAGAUGCCGUGGAGCCGCCCAUCCUUGAAGCUGGCGUUGAAUUCUUCCUCUUUGGGCCCUGCCUGGUGACGGAGGCUCUCCAGUGCCACGUAGGCGCGGCCCAGCGUGGCGUUCACCUCUGUAAUCAGCACGAUCUCCUUCUGGCACACCUCGGACAGAGGCCUGUAGAUGCUCAGGAAGUCCAACAGGAAGUGGCAGAACUUGACAAAGUGGAAGCCGCGCAUGAGCUUCAGCAUCCCUUUGGCCCGGUGCCCAAUCUGGCCCCCAGCCUCUGCCACCCUCUGGAGGUGCCUGGCCAGGGCGGGCCAGCUCACGAGCAGCGCGUGCAGCGUGCGCCUCCUGCUGGCCACCCAGCGGACCGCAUUCAGAUCCUUCAGGCGGAUGAUCUCCUGCUCCAGAGGCGCCGCACCUUCCUGCAGCUCGUUCAGCCUCUUGUUUGAGGACUGAUAAAACUUGAAGACGGUGCGGAUGUGCCGGUCACACUUCUUCACCAGAUCGAUGCUCCCGCAGGCGUCCACCACAGCCAGGUGCAGCCGGUGGGCCACGCAGUGGACAGGCAGCAGCUGCGGGAUGACCUCCUGGAACUUUUCCACAAGGCCUCCUCUGCAGCUCAACAUGGCUGAGCCAUCCGUCCCCAGCCCCACCACCCAGCCAGGCUUCCGGAAGGGGAUGUCCAGCUCAUCCAGGGCAGAAACGAUGGUCUCGAAGUACCCAUCUGCUGUCUCACUGUAGAGAGGGGCCAGAGUGAUGUAGGACUCUUUCACCUCCAUCUGCUUGAAGUAGCGGAUGUAAAUCCCCACGCAGGCCUGCUCGGAGGCGUCGGUGGAGCUGUCCAGCAGCACGCUCACACAGGGCGAGUUCCGCACGUCCUCCAGGAUCUCCCUCUUCAGGGUCUCUGAGAUGUACUUGAUGAACUGAGUGCACGCCGUGCGAUUGCGGUACUUGCCUAAUAUCACGGUCCCCGUGCUUUGGAGGAGCUGCAGGAUCUUCUCAAAGUCAUUCAGGGGCCUUGAGUGGUAUGCAAUGGAGUAGGCGGCAUUGAAAAAGUGCUCCAUGUUGGCCAUGAGGUCGCUGGAGAUCUCUGGAACGAGGGCAGUGUGAGGGGUGUCUUCCUUGAUUUCAACCGUGUUGACACAGAGCCUGUGCGCUUUGCUGACUUCAUGGUAUUUUAAAGUCUCCACUUUAAAAGGCCCCGUGUAACCUCUGACUAACCGAGAUGAUUUAUCAUGGAG
Molecule: long non-coding RNA, 13224 nt
Filed under: Homo sapiens (human)
Lineage: Eukaryota; Metazoa; Chordata; Mammalia; Primates; Hominidae
Description: non-protein coding ATP6V0E2-AS1:13
Source: RNAcentral